Molecule: ribosomal RNA, 2050 nt
Filed under: Salmonella enterica subsp. enterica serovar Muenchen
Lineage: Bacteria; Pseudomonadati; Pseudomonadota; Gammaproteobacteria; Enterobacterales; Enterobacteriaceae
Description: partial 23S ribosomal RNA
Rfam family: Bacterial large subunit ribosomal RNA
Source: RNAcentral
AAUCCAUAGGUUAAUGAGGCGAACCGGGGGAACUGAAACAUCUAAGUACCCCGAGGAAAAGAAAUCAACCGAGAUUCCCCCAGUAGCGGCGAGCGAACGGGGAGGAGCCCAGAGCCUGAAUCAGCAUGUGUGUUAGUGGAAGCGUCUGGAAAGGCGCGCGAUACAGGGUGACAGCCCCGUACACAAAAGCGCAUGUGCUGUGAGCUCGAUGAGUAGGGCGGGACACGUGGUAUCCUGUCUGAAUAUGGGGGGACCAUCCUCCAAGGCUAAAUACUCCUGACUGACCGAUAGUGAACCAGUACCGUGAGGGAAAGGCGAAAAGAACCCCGGCGAGGGGAGUGAAAAAGAACCUGAAACCGUGUACGUACAAGCAGUGGGAGCACAGGUUUACCUGUGUGACUGCGUACCUUUUGUAUAAUGGGUCAGCGACUUAUAUUCUGUAGCAAGGUUAACCGAAUAGGGGAGCCGGAGGGAAACCGAGUCUUAACCGGGCGUUAAGUUGCAGGGUAUAGACCCGAAACCCGGUGAUCUAGCCAUGGGCAGGUUGAAGGUUGGGUAACACUAACUGGAGGACCGAACCGACUAAUGUUGAAAAAUUAGCGGAUGACCUGUGGCUGGGGGUGAAAGGCCAAUCAAACCGGGAGAUAGCUGGUUCUCCCCGAAAGCUAUUUAGGUAGCGCCUCGUGAAUUCAUCUCCGGGGGUAGAGCACUGUUUCGGCUAGGGGGCCAUCCCGGCUUACCAACCCGAUGCAAACUGCGAAUACCGGAGAAUGUUAUCACGGGAGACACACGGCGGGUGCUAACGUCCGUCGUGAAGAGGGAAACAACCCAGACCGCCAGCUAAGGUCCCAAAGUCAUGGUUAAGUGGGAAACGAUGUGGGAAGGCCCAGACAGCCAGGAUGUUGGCUUAGAAGCAGCCAUCAUUUAAAGAAAGCGUAAUAGCUCACUGGUCGAGUCGGCCUGCGCGGAAGAUGUAACGGGGCUAAACCAUGCACCGAAGCUGCGGCAGCGAACGUAUCACUUAAAGCGAUUCAGCGGGUUACGAUUGACGGAGCGAAGCGACGUCAAAGCGUAUACAAAGUCGAGUCGGUUUAAGGAUACGUUCGUUGGGUAGGGGAGCGUUCUGUAAGCCUGUGAAGGUGGCCUGUGAGGGUUGCUGGAGGUAUCAGAAGUGCGAAUGCUGACAUAAGUAACGAUAAAGCGGGUGAAAAGCCCGCUCGCCGGAAGACCAAGGGUUCCUGUCCAACGUUAAUCGGGGCAGGGUGAGUCGACCCCUAAGGCGAGGCCGAAAGGCGUAGUCGAUGGGAAACGGGUUAAUAUUCCCGUACUUGGUGUUACUGCGAAGGGGGGACGGAGAAGGCUAUGUUGGCCGGGCGACGGUUGUCCCGGUUUAAGCGUGUAGGUGUGUGUUCCAGGUAAAUCCGGUUCACUUUAACACUGAGGCGUGAUGACGAGGCACUACGGUGCUGAAGCAACAAAUGCCCUGCUUCCAGGAAAAGCCUCUAAGCAUCAGGUAACAUCAAAUCGUACCCCAAACCGACACAGGUGGUCAGGUAGAGAAUACCAAGGCGCUUGAGAGAACUCGGGUGAAGGAACUAGGCAAAAUGGUGCCGUAACUUCGGGAGAAGGCACGCUGACACGUAGGUGAAGUGAUUUACUCAUGGAGCUGAAGUCAGUCGAAGAUACCAGCUGGCUGCAACUGUUUAUUAAAAACACAGCACUGUGCAAACACGAAAGUGGACGUAUACGGUGUGACGCCUGCCCGGUGCCGGAAGGUUAAUUGAUGGGGUCAGCGCAAGCGAAGCUCCUGAUCGAAGCCCCGGUAAACGGCGGCCGUAACUAUAACGGUCCUAAGGUAGCGAAAUUCCUUGUCGGGUAAGUUCCGACCUGCACGAAUGGCGUAAUGAUGGCCAGGCUGUCUCCACCCGAGACUCAGUGAAAUUGAACUCGCUGUGAAGAUGCAGUGUACCCGCGGCAAGACGGAAAGACCCCGUGAACCUUUACUAUAGCUUGACACUGAACAUUGAGCCUUGAUGUGUAGGAUAGGUGG